RNAcentral lists this ribosomal RNA (292 nucleotides) under uncultured bacterium. Its description in RNAcentral is "partial 16S ribosomal RNA". It matches the Rfam family "Bacterial small subunit ribosomal RNA", at positions 775 to 1067 of the family's 1533-position model. The record is from RNAcentral.
GGAUUAGAUACCCUGGUAGUCCACACCGUAAACGAUGAGUGCUAGUUGUCAGCAGGCAUGCCUGUUGGUGACGCAGCUAACGCAUUAAGCACUCCGCCUGGGGAGUACGGCCGCAAGGUUAAAACUCAAAGAAAUUGACGGGGGCCCGCACAAGCGGUGGAGCAUGUGGUUUAAUUCGAAGCAACGCGCAGAACCUUACCUACCCUUGACAUGCCCGGACGGUUUCCAGAGAUGGAUUCCUCUCUUCGGAGCCGGUGCACAGGUGCUGCAUGGCUGUCGUCAGCUCGUGUUG